UAGCCGGACUGAGAGGUUGAACGGCCACAUUGGGACUGAGACACGGCCCAGACUCCUACGGGAGGCAGCAGUGGGGGAUAUUGCACAAUGGGGGAAACCCUGAUGCAGCGAUGCCGCGUGGAGGAAGAAGGUUUUCGGAUUGUAAACUCCUGUCGUAAGGGAAGAGAAAGGACUGUACCUUACAAGAAAGCUCCGGCUAACUACGUGCCAGCAGCCGCGGUAAAACGUAGGUCACAAGCGUUGUCCGGAAUUACUGGGUGUAAAGGGAGCGCAGGCGGGAAGACAAGUUGGAAGUGAAAUCCAUGGGCUCAACCCAUGAACUGCUUUCAAAACUGUUUUUCUUGAGUAGUGCAGAGGUAGGCGGAAUUCCCGGUGUAGCGGUGGAAUGCGUAGAUAUCGGGAGGAACACCAGUGGCGAAGGCGGCCUACUGGGCACCAACUGACGCUGAGGCUCGAAAGUGUGGGUAGCAAACAGGAUUAGAUACCCUGGUAGUCCACACUGUAAACGAUGAUUACUAGGUGUUGGAGGAUUGACCCCUUCAGUGCCGCAGUUAACACAAUAAGUAAUCCACCUGGGGAGUACGACCGCAAGGUUGAAACUCAAAGGAAUUGACGGGGGCCCGCACAAGCAGUGGAGUAUGUGGUUUAAUUCGACGCAACGCGAAGAACCUUACCAAGUCUUGACAUCCUGCGACGCACAUAGAAAUAUGUGUUUCCUUCGGGACGCAGAGACAGGUGGUGCAUGGUUGUCGUCAGCUCGUGUCGUGAGAUGUUGGGUUAAGUCCCGCAACGAGCGCAACCCUUAUGGUCAGUUACUACGCAAGAGGACUCUGGCCAGACUGCCGUUGACAAAACGGAGGAAGGUGGGGAUGACGUCAAAUCAUCAUGCCCUUUAUGACUUGGGCUACACACGUACUACAAUGGCGUUAAACAAAGAGAAGCAAGACCGCGAGGUGGAGCAAAACUCAGAAACAACGUCCCAGUUCGGACUGCAGGCUGCAACUCGCCUGCACGAAGUCGGAAUUGCUAGUAAUCGCAGAUCAGCAUGCUGCGGUGAAUACGUUCCCGGGCCUUGUACACACCGCCCGUCACACCAUGAGAGCCGGGGGGACCCGAAGUCGGUAGUCUAACCGCAAGGAGGACGCCGCCGAAGGUAAAACUGGUGAUUGGGGUGAAAUCGUAACAAGGUAGCCGUAGGAGUACCUGCGGCUG
RNAcentral lists this ribosomal RNA (1212 nucleotides) under metagenome. RNAcentral describes it as "bacterial SSU rRNA". It matches the Rfam family "Bacterial small subunit ribosomal RNA", at positions 284 to 1520 of the family's 1533-position model. The record is from RNAcentral.